RNAcentral lists this long non-coding RNA (514 nucleotides) under Androctonus crassicauda. The record is from RNAcentral. Lineage: Eukaryota; Metazoa; Arthropoda; Arachnida; Scorpiones; Buthidae.
UAAAUGAGAAGUAUUAUAAAAUGAGGCUCCGAUGGAGGGCGUGGACAGUUCUCUUCCGUGUUGCUUCACCUGCUGAUGGUAUUGUGGUGUUUGGUCUUGGUGAUUUUGUUAAUGGAUGUGUUGUUCGGAUGUAUUGUAGAAUUAAUUGUGUACAAAUCGGGAGAGAAUUAAUGUAUUGUGAAGUUGUUGGAAUUUUUGUAAGUUGUUUUGGUUAUAAUAAAACUAAUUUGGAUUUAGUAAAGUAUGGAGCAGAGUUCUUGGAACUUAACUAGAAUCUUUGAUUGGUUAAAAAGACACGAGUUGAACAUAACUAAUAAAAUUUAUUGAAAAACGACCAGAUGGGGCGGGAGAGGCACGGGCCUAGAACUUGAAUGGAAGUGGGGGUUUGGCCCCACCUUUCCAAUUUUACUUGUAUAGAUUUCAAUUCGUUUAUGGUUAUGUGCAAAAAUUACCACCACUUGGCAUUUUACAAUGAUAUCUGAGCUAUGAAAAGAGAGAUGCGUUUGAAUAGUCA